This 73-nucleotide transfer RNA is filed under the name Chloroflexota bacterium. RNAcentral describes it as "Chloroflexi bacterium tRNA-Met". It matches the Rfam family "tRNA". Rfam says of the family: Transfer RNA (tRNA) molecules are approximately 80 nucleotides in length. Their secondary structure includes four short double-helical elements and three loops (D, anti-codon, and T loops). The record is from RNAcentral. Lineage: Bacteria; Bacillati; Chloroflexota.
GGGCCCAUAGCUCAAUGGUUAGAGCAGUCGACUCAUAAUCGAUUGGUUGGGGGUUCGAGUCCCUCUGGGCCCA